UCACUCCACCACCCCACAAUCCACUCCUUUUGCUGUCACACCCAUACCAAACUUCUCAUACAUGCUUUCAUUACUUUCUCCAUUCCAUCCUGAAACACCCCAUUCACCUCUUAUAUAACUCAUUUCUACUCCACAUAUUCUCGAUUGCUGUGCUGCAUUCCAUGUCCACGUCUCUGAUGCAUAUUACAGAGUUGGCAGGAUAGGUACACAAAUUAACUGUAUAUUAGUAUAGCAACACAACACAGCAUUUUACAUUUCAUCUGUGGGUUCAGUGUGGGUAAGGCUAUGAUAUUAGCUUUCCAUUGUUUCCAGAGUUUAUGAUAGAUAACUAUGCUGCCCAUGACACCUCCAGUAAGGUGUAUUUGAUUCAACAUUAUACGUACUGAGCACUGUACAGACUUACAUUAUUGUAGAAGUAUCUACCCAUGAACCUUCAUGGCAGUGAACUAUUUAGAUAUCCUACAAGGAAACUUUGGACUGCUACAAGGAGAAAGAGGCUCUAAAGUAUGAGAAAUGGUAUGAGGAAGCCAGGAAGGUUAUCUUUUCCUAGCUAGAGUACAGUGUUUGGGUAGUAGUAGUCGGUCGGGAGUUUUGCCUUUGUAACGGCACUCCCUGAUGUGUCUACUGUCUGGGUCUAUUGUUUUCCUUUUUCUUUCAUUCUUUUUUCUCUUAUUGUGAAUGCAAGGAACUACGGUUGGUCUGAGUCUCGGCAAAAUGUGUCAGAUGUGUGACAAGGGUGUGAAUGAGACUGACUUGUGGUAGAAUGUGGAAAACAAAAAUGAUGCAGGUGUUUUUGACUAAGAUGGGAUGUGAAAUGAAUGUUUGUUUAGUGUACUGGAAGAGAGUGGAUGGUGCUGCCACUAGGGGUCAGUGGGAAGACAUAUGGAUGAGUAACUGAAGCAGUGAAAAAGUUCUUGUAAAGAAUGUGGCAUGCAAGAAUAGCAUCUUUUUACAUGAAGAGUAAUUCCUGUUCUGCAUGUUACCUCCCUUGUUGUGCUUUCCUUCCUACCAUUGUAUCUUUUUAAUUUCAUGGUGCUACCUACACAUGUAUUAAUAGUUGUAUAAUCACACUCUGUCCUGCCUGGGGGUUGGGAUGGCAUGUUCCUCCCUUCUCCCUUGUUGUUUACCUGCAACAAUAAACUAUCAAUCAAUCAGUUUUCCUUUUUUCAGGAGGUGCUGUUACAAGGACUUGGCCUGUGAGAAAUCUCAAGUCACCUGUGACAUCAAGAUUUGGAUGCCAACUGCCAAACUAGCCCCAUAAAACACCCACGAAGAAGAAGACAAAGGAGCUUCUCUCCCCUAAAAGCAGUGUCACAAGGGAGGAACAGCAUAACUGCAUUCAGCUUCUCACCAGCUGGUUCAGUAUAUUUGCUUUUAUGAAUACAUGGAUGUAACAUGAAAGAUGCAACUUUCUUUAAAAGUUUGAAAUACAGGCUUUAUCAAGAACUUGUUAUAGUUCUAGUAUUUGAUAUUAGCUCUAAUUCAUUUUGUUCAUUUUCCUUUUAAAGAAAUAUCUGCAACCUUUAGAGAACACAUCCAACCUUAAUGUAGGUUUCAAUGACUUUUGAGUUUCAAACCACUUUUUAUAAGUUCAGUACUAAAGAAUAUUGUGUUAUAUGUAUACUCAUGCCUGUUUUCUUGUUGCAUCUUGUCCCUUUUUAUGGACUUGGAAGCUAAUCAUCUGGAUAUCACAAGUUUUAAUGGUUGUCUGUAACGAUAUUUAUCACCCACAAAUUUCCAUUUCCUUUUUGAAAAAGUGUGUGUGUGUGUGUGUGUGUGUGUGUGUGUGUGUGUGUGUGUGUGUGUGGGCAUUUUAGUAUGUUAUAUGUGCACAUUUUUUGUUCAAGUAAAUUGACUUUGAGGUGAGUGACAGGCAGGCCAUGCAGGCUCUGUGAAGGUUUUAACACUACCUACCAUUGAUAAAGUCUCUUAAAGAUACAUACAGUAUUAACAUGAAAACUACAAUACAUUCAAGAUAUCUCACUACUAAUUUAAAUAUUGUAUUUACAGAUACAAUGUACAAUAGAUAUAAGCUGCCACUUAGUACCUUUAUGACUACGAAGAGAAGUAAUUACACUUAAGAUUCACCACACAUUGUACUGUACAAUAUUUUUUAAAGACCCCAUAAUAUCCAAAGGAAAAUAUUUUGAUCUUAACUUUAUGUGGAUAAUCUUUCGUCAUUGCACAUAACAUCACUGUCAGUUUUUUGAGUGCAUGUUGCUCAUGUUUAGUGUUCAGGCUUGCACUAGUCACGGGUUCUUUUGCUUUCAGUCUAAUAUUUUUUGUUCAGUAUGUACAUAUUG
Molecule: long non-coding RNA, 2303 nt
Organism: Eriocheir sinensis (Chinese mitten crab)
Lineage: Eukaryota; Metazoa; Arthropoda; Malacostraca; Decapoda; Varunidae
Exons: 2
Source: RefSeq, a predicted model, not a curated record